AGGCGAAAAGAACCCCGGCGAGGGGAGUGAAAAAGAACCUGAAACCGUGUACGUACAAGCAGUGGGAGCCCCACCACCAAAGCAUUUGCUGUACCAUGUUGACGGAGCGAAGCGACGUCAAACCGAUAAAACAGCAGUGUAAAGUGAGCCGCAGGGCGCUUUGCGCGACAGCGCAAAGGCAGGCGGUUUCGCGUAGCGAAAGCGAAUGCUUUGGGGUGGGGUGACUGCGUACCUUUUGUAUAAUGGGUCAGCGACUUAUAUUCUGUAGCAAGGUUAACCGAAUAGGGGAGCCGGAGGGAAACCGAGUCUUAACCG
Molecule: ribosomal RNA, 315 nt
Filed under: Salmonella enterica subsp. enterica serovar Heidelberg
Lineage: Bacteria; Pseudomonadati; Pseudomonadota; Gammaproteobacteria; Enterobacterales; Enterobacteriaceae
Description: bacterial LSU rRNA
Rfam family: Bacterial large subunit ribosomal RNA
Source: RNAcentral